AUGAUUAACUUGUCAUUGCUACUAAUGCAUCAAUGUUUGGCACAUUUUCUGAUUGUGCUUACUGAAAUUGAGAGGUGUAGCUGGCAACCUACUUGUGAGAAGGAUGUAAAAGAUGAAGGUCGUUUCCAAGGAUAUGCCCAUAAAGAUGGCAUGUUACUUUGCGGUUGCGGUCAGUCUGAAGUAAUGACCGUUCCUGCAUUUCCUUCAUCUCAGCCAGCUUAUCUUUGGAACUUGCAAGUGAAUGAUACCCAUAACAGAUUGGCAGGCGCAGGUUUCCAUCUUAAUGAUACGUGCUGCAGUGUGAUGUUAGACUCAGAAAUGAACCUCUUCACAAACUGA
RNAcentral lists this ribosomal RNA (339 nucleotides) under Triticum aestivum (bread wheat). RNAcentral's name for it is "partial small subunit ribosomal RNA". Lineage: Eukaryota; Viridiplantae; Streptophyta; Magnoliopsida; Poales; Poaceae. The record is from RNAcentral.